This 616-nucleotide unclassified non-coding RNA is filed under the name Trichoderma inhamatum. RNAcentral's name for it is "sequence contains 18S rRNA gene, ITS1, 5.8S rRNA gene, ITS2, 28S rRNA gene". The stretch from base 244 to 397 matches the Rfam family "5.8S ribosomal RNA". The record is from RNAcentral. Lineage: Eukaryota; Fungi; Ascomycota; Sordariomycetes; Hypocreales; Hypocreaceae.
GUAACAAGGUCUCCGUUGGUGAACCAGCGGAGGGAUCAUUACCGAGUUUACAACUCCCAAACCCAAUGUGAACGUUACCAAACUGUUGCCUCGGCGGGAUCUCUGCCCCGGGUGCGUCGCAGCCCCGGACCAAGGCGCCCGCCGGAGGACCAACCAAAACUCUUAUUGUAUACCCCCUCGCGGGUUUUUUUUAUAAUCUGAGCCUUCUCGGCGCCUCUCGUAGGCGUUUCGAAAAUGAAUCAAAACUUUCAACAACGGAUCUCUUGGUUCUGGCAUCGAUGAAGAACGCAGCGAAAUGCGAUAAGUAAUGUGAAUUGCAGAAUUCAGUGAAUCAUCGAAUCUUUGAACGCACAUUGCGCCCGCCAGUAUUCUGGCGGGCAUGCCUGUCCGAGCGUCAUUUCAACCCUCGAACCCCUCCGGGGGGUCGGCGUUGGGGAUCGGCCCUCCCUUAGCGGGGGCCGUCUCCGAAAUACAGUGGCGGUCUCGCCGCAGCCUCUCCUGCGCAGUAGUUUGCACACUCGCAUCGGGAGCGCGGCGCGUCCACAGCCGUUAAACACCCAACUUCUGAAAUGUUGACCUCGGAUCAGGUAGGAAUACCCGCUGAACCUAAGCAUAU